ACUCCUACGGGAGGCAGCAGUGGGGAAUAUUGCACAAUGGGCGCAAGCCUGAUGCAGCAACGCCGUGUGAGUGAAGAAGGUUUUCGGAUCGUAAACUCUGUCCUAAGGGAAGAAAAAAUGACGGUACCUUAGGAGGAAGCCCGGCUAACUACGUGCCAGCAGCCGCGGUAAUACGUAGGGGGCAAGCGUUAUCCGGAAUCACUGGGCGUAAAGGGUGCGUAGGCGGCUUAGCAAGCCAGGGUGAAAGGCAUUGGCUCAACCAAUGUAAGCCUUUGGAACUGUUAAGCUUGAGUGCAGGAGAGGUAAGUGGAAUUCCUAGUGUAGAGGUGAAAUUCGUAGAUAUUAGGAGGAACACCAGUGGCGAAGGCGACUUACUGGACUGUAACUGACGCUGAUGCACGAAAGCGUGGG
RNAcentral lists this ribosomal RNA (411 nucleotides) under uncultured bacterium. RNAcentral describes it as "bacterial SSU rRNA". It matches the Rfam family "Bacterial small subunit ribosomal RNA", at positions 335 to 765 of the family's 1533-position model. The record is from RNAcentral.